Homo sapiens (human) is the source of this 5386-nucleotide long non-coding RNA. RefSeq lists it as uncharacterized. The transcript has 2 exons. The record is from RefSeq and is a predicted model, not a curated record. NCBI's taxonomy places the organism in Eukaryota, Metazoa, Chordata, Mammalia, Primates, Hominidae.
GGCUGUCCUGCCAAUUCAGGGACAUGAGCUGAGUAACUGGUUAUUUGUGCACCACCCAAAGGUACCCUGGGAAGGGGAGAUGUGAGCACCCACUCCCUAGGAGCCCUGGGGAAAGGUCACUGGGUGAGAAUGCAGUGGUGUCUUCUCAGCAACCCCGCAGGCCCCUUGCUAGCCAGCUCUGAUGGGGCAGGCCUUCCUGGGAGCUGCUCUUGGGUCCCUUCUAGGUGAACAGGGAGGGAAGAGGGCAGGAACAAAGCGGGUGGGCCUGCCUGGGAGGCCUCAACCCAAAAUGUGGGCCAGAGCGUUCAUUAGAGAGCUGAGAAGGGAAGGAAGACAGUCCAGUAGCAGAGUAUCUCUGUGAUAAUCUUGUGAGGUGCUUCAGCCCUAUUUUGCACAGAAGACAAAAUCGAAGCUCAGAGAGGUUAUGGAACUACCCUUAGGGCACACCGUUAGCAAGUGGCGGGGUCAAAGAUCCCACCUAGACCACUUGGGCUCUAAAACCUGGGCCCAUUCUAUUAUUCUUUGCUGCCCAGGAAAAUUCUGGUUUAGCUCAGGAGGAAACAUCCACUGUCAACUCUGUUAUUCUACAUUGUCAGAUUCCCAUCUUUCCCCACCUCUCCCCACCUCCAAAACUUGGCUUGUGAAAUUUCCACUAGAAAAUAAAGCUGAAAGGAAACAGCUGUACUUCUCUGUGUCCACGCCAGGAACUCCAGCUCCCAGGCCCUCAAGCUUCCUCCCACAGAAUUGAGUGCAUGCGGUGUGGGCCAGGCCAUAGUGGCCUGAGCAUGUUGGGAACCGUUGCCGGUUCCUGUCCUUGGAUGUCUCAUUUGGUAAUUCUGACAGACUGAAAACCACACUCCCUGGUGACCAGCCUCAUAAAUCUGACCUGUGUGUUUAAUUGAGUUUGGUGAAACUUAGGGAUAUUGGCUCUCAUGAAGAACCUCCCACCCUACAAGGGAUUCCAGGUGUUGGCCCUGCCCUUUAGUCCUCCUCAGAUCUCUCCACACAGAGGGAGUCAAGCCUUCCUUAUCUUCCCCUUUUGGCCUUGGCUAUUUCUCAUACUUUCUGACACUCCCAUCAUAUUGGGUCACUGUGUUUCCCCCUCAUCAUCGCCUUACAGCAGUAAAAUGCCAAGAAACUUUCAAUUCUGUGUGGGGUGGGGAGAGAAUUAGUGAGUUGGGGGUAGGGUUUGGGAAGGCUUGAGGAAGGAGAGCUGGGAGGGAAGAGAGACAGCUCUGUUUCUUCUAACCUUUAACUUCAAUCAUGUCUUCAUUUACUUGAUAAUGCACAUAUAUUGGCUGGAUGAGGUGAUAUAGGAGGAGAAGGCCUGCUGAAGACAGAGACAGAGAUUGGAGUUAUGCAGCCUCAAGACAAGGAAGGCCUAGAACCACCAGGAGCUGGAAGAGGUUCCAGUGACUCUGCUGUCCACUACACCCCACCACUGCAGCCCAUCACUCAAGAGUGCCACAGCCUGUGGCAGGGACUGUCUUUCGGGGAUGAAGUUUCCACUGCUUGAAAGCAGGUGUGUUUUCAUUGAUCCUCAAGAAAUUAGGUAGUAAUGGAGUGCCAUGCUGUGUGCAGUACAAUGUUGGGAACCGUGGGCUCUACUAAUAGGGAUGGACACCUGCCAGGUGGAACUUUGAGGGGUGGUGUUCUCAGCACUUCGCCUGCACAGCAAAUGUCCAGGCCCCAACAGGAUCCCACAACAUGCAGCCAGCCCACCCCGAGCCAGGUGCUGUGUGGGUUGAGGAAUCCCUCCCGCGAUAGCUCCCCUGUGGAGGACUGGAAGGGAAGCAGUACUCACUGCGGGUCUACGGUGUGCAGAGAACUUUUGCUUGUCUUCCCAGCAGUCUUGAGUGGUGGGCGUGACUGCCCACUCCGUCUUCCAGAUUUGGAAGCAGAUGGAGAGCCAAGGAGCUUUGUUCUGCCCCAUUUUCAGCUUGGAGCUGGGCCCCGCCUGCCCUCCCAGGACAGAUGGUGUACCGCAAGGAUGAAGGUGGGGUGGGGACCGGACUCUGGAGACAACUUAGACUUUCCUUGUCAACACCUGGCCUUUAGGGCAUGGCGGUGGAAGACUCAUUUAUUCACUCAUUCAUUCAUUCAUCCGAAACUUUUUUUGUUGUGGUAAAUUACACAUAACAUAAAAUUCACCGUCUUAACCAUUUUAAAGUGUGCAAUUCAGUGGCAUUUAGUACAUUUACAAUGUCGUGCAGCCAUCACCACUGUCUAGUUCCAGAAUAUCUUCCUCCCCAGAGGAAACCCUGUAUCUGUGAAGUAGUCACUCCCCAUUCCCCUCUCCUCCCAGGGCCUGGCAACCACUACUUUACUUUUUGUCCCUAUGGACUUGCCUGUCCUGGAUAUUUUAUAUAAGUGGAAUCAUACAACAUGUGGCCUUCUGCAUCUGGCUUCUUUUACAGCAUAAUUCUUGUCAUAGCAUGUAUCAGUACUUCAUUCCUUUUCAUGACUAAAUAAUACUUCAUUGUAUGGAAGUACCAGAUUUUGUUUGUCCAUUCACUGUUUGAUGGACAUUUUGGGUUGUUUCCACCUUUUGGCUGUUAUGAAUAAUGCCGCUAUGAGCUUUCAUGUGCAAGUUUUUGUUUGAACACUUGUUUUCCUUUCUCUUGGGUCUAUAUUUAGGGGUGGCAUUGAUGGCUUUUGUGUGAACUAUACAUUUAACAUAUGAGGAACCGCCACACUGUUUUCCAAAGUGGCUGCAUCAUUUUACAUUCCCACCAGCAAUGAGGGCUCUAAUUUUUCUACAUCCUCGCCAACACUUGUUAUUUUUUCUUUUCUUUCUUUUUUUUGUUAUGUCGCCCAGGCUGGAGUGCAGUGACUACUCACAGGUGAGAUUAUGGCAUACUGAAGUCUUGAACUCCUGGGUUCAAGCAAUCCUCCUGCCUCAGCCUCCCAAGUAGCUGGGACUGCAGGCCUGCAGCACCACACCUGGCUACUUGGUGUCUUUUUGAUGAUAGCCAUCCUAGUAAUGUGAAGUGUUAUCAUUGUAGUUGUUUGAUACAUACUUUUGACCUUUACUGUGUUCCAGGCACCACGGUAGUCACUAGGAAGAUGGCAGAGAACAAAAUAGACAAAGCCCUUCCCUUCUGGAAGUUCUAUUCUAGUGAGAAAUGCUCUAGUAGAGUGGAGUUAAGAGGCCAGGCAGCAGGGACAUGAAUACAACUCGCUGCAGCUGGGAAAGCCGAAAGGCGUAUGCUUUAGGCUCUGCUAUUUCUCUUCAUCCUGGAAGAAUGGAGCAGAGUUUACAAACUCAAAGUCGAUGUACAGGACACGGCCAGAGUGAUGAGUGUGCACGCAGCAUGUGUGCAUGGUUGGAUUGGAGGGCGCCAGCCUUGCCUCAAGGGCAGAUGCUCCAUAGUACCGGCUUCUUACUACUGACUGGUAAAGUAGACUUGGUCUUGCCUGUGCUCUGGAUGAAAAUAAAAUUUUUAUUUUAUUUUUUUAAUUAAUUUUUUUUUUUUUUUUUUUGAGACGGAGUCUCGCUCUGUCGCCCAGGCUGGAGUGCAGUGGCGGGAUCUCGGCUCACUGCAAGCUCUGCCUCCCGGGUUCACGCCAUUCUCCUGCCUCAGCCUCCCAAGUAGCUGGGACUACAGGCGCCCGCCACUACGCCCGGCUAAUUUUUUGUAUUUUUAGUAGAGACGGGGUUUCACCGUUUUAGCCGGGAUGGUCUCGAUCUCCUGACCUCGUGAUCCGCCCGCCUCGGCCUCCCAAAGUGCUGGGAUUACAGGCGUGAGCCACCGUGCCCGGCCUUAAUUUUUUUUUUUUUGAGGCAGAGUCUCUCUCUGUCACCCAGGCUGGAAUGCAGUGGCGCUAUCUUGACUCGCUGCAACCUCUGCCUCCUGGAUUCAAGCGAUUCUUCUGUCUCAGCCUCUGAGUAGCUGGGAUUACAAGCACGCGCCACCAUGCCUGGCUAAUUUUUCUACUUUUAGUAGAGACGGGGUUUCGCCAUGUUGGCCAGACUGGUCUUGAACUCCUGACCUCAGGUGAUCCACCCACCUUGGCCUCCCAAAGUGCUGGGAUUACAGGCGUGAGCCAUCGUGCCCAGCCAAAAUUUGUACACUAAAUCUCCCAAGUUUUCAAUGAUGGCACAGACAUUUUUUAAACAUUGCUUGGGGGACAGUUUAACUUGUGAUUCUGACGGGGAUGAUAUUUCUCAGUUGCAGAGUCUCAUCCAUCGGGUAAGAAUUUAUGGGGGUGUGUCUGGGAAUCUGCCUUCUUAACAAGCUUCCUCCCCUGCCCCCCAGGUGGUCUGAUGCACACUGAAGUUUGAGAAUCACCAAACUGGAGUUGUAAGGACAACAGCUUCCCGCCAGUGGAGGGCUGAGCGGGCAGGAUCAUGUUCCCUGUGUCAGCCUGAGCAUCCCAUGGCCUGGUUCCAGCUUCUCAGGGCAAACAGCCAUGCAGAGAACAUAUCUCUUUGUGCCAGAAAGGGGGGGGCGGAGAGGGGACCUGCAGGAGGAGCACCCCACCCCCACCCCAGGCUGGCUUCGACUCUCCAAAGCCCCACGUGGUUAGAUGCCCGUCCUAGUGGCUUUUGCCCUAGUGGGCAGUGGGACUGCAAACCCUAAUGCCUUUUGCUUCCCUGGUGAACUUUCUCUGGAUGGAAACACUUUGCAGGGGAGACUGUCCAAAUAGAGAUGUCAGGUUCCAUGAGAAGGCAGCCACAGGUCUGUGGACAGCCCGGGUGUUGACAGACAAGUGUUAAGCAAUAUGUUUGUAGGUCUCUUGCUUAAUUGUCACAACUGCAGUUAAAACUAGUAGUUCUCUGGCAGGGGUGUCAGUUCCAAAAAUCCACAGGCUCCUCUUCAACAGCUGUGAACACCCUGGCCUUUGUAGAUGUUUAUUCUGAAGCUGCCAGGGCACUUCACCUGGUUCACCUGAUAGCCCGGAAUGCUCCGUGGGAUUAGUAUUCCCACCCAAUAUUUACAGGUUCCCAUAGUUCAAGGACUCAGGAUGGGCUCCUUCCCCAAUGUGUCCUCUGCCUGCUCAUGUAGUGGUGAGGUGCAAAUAUGCAUGUUGGCAAAAAUGUGUGUUUUUCUCCAGAUGGAGAAAAAUAGAAAUCUGGAGUUCAUCUUCAUGGGAAUAAUCAUCAAAGCAAUCCAUCCCAUUCACCCACCAGCCCCCAAAUACUCACAUGUUACUCUACGGAAAGAACUUUGGUUGAUUUUUCCAAUAGGAAGCAACAAGGAACAAAUUAAUAACCUAUGUUUCUGUGUACAUUUCUACGUCUAAAGGGUCCAUUUAAGUAAAGCCUUCUUCCUAGAUUACUCUGAGCAAAUAUUUUUAGUUGUUAAGAACCAUAAUCAAUGUAAGAUAUAACAGCUGUAAAACUUAUAGUAGUCAUAAUACCUGUAAUAAAAUAUUAAACUUA